CUGCAGACUGUCCCACAGGAAGAAAGAAACAUUCACCGGUGUGAACAGGUUUUCAAUGCAGAUCCAAAAAGGUUGUUUCCAGAGCCUAGCUAUUGUGAGUUGGACUGAUACAAACACAGAUAUGCAAAUAGAGAGCUCUGGGAGUGAUUUGCUUACAAAAUCACAAGUGAUUUCCACUCAUUUUCCCAGCAUCAGCACUCAGAAUACCCAGUUCUAAACAGGCUGCAGUGGUGUAUACCUCUCUCUUCCAGGUUGAGUUUCAAUUAGGUUUCGUUACCAUGUGACUAUCAGCCCUGCAGGAGGUGGAGAGGCAUCAUCCACUCCCCAGAGAUGAUUGAAGAAUAACGUAACAGAAUUCUGGGAUAUGAGCAAGACUCCAGAAACACAAGUCUCCUGUGGAUUGUGGGAAAUCGCAAAGCAUUUCUUCUGAUAUUAUUUAAAACUCCAAACCUAAUGGGAGACAAACCAUAAAACUAAAUGUUACAGUCCAAAAGUAAUCUCCCUUUCCAACAGGAAAAAAAAAAGUCACAGUUCUAACUGAUAACA
This is a long non-coding RNA of Fukomys damarensis (Damara mole-rat), 546 nucleotides long. RefSeq lists it as uncharacterized. The record is from RefSeq and is a predicted model, not a curated record. Lineage: Eukaryota; Metazoa; Chordata; Mammalia; Rodentia; Bathyergidae. The transcript has 4 exons.